Long non-coding RNA from Equus caballus (horse), 3545 nucleotides. The record is from Ensembl. NCBI's taxonomy places the organism in Eukaryota, Metazoa, Chordata, Mammalia, Perissodactyla, Equidae.
GUAAGUACAGGAUGGAGUGGCCACAAGGCAGGGAGUCAGCAUGUAGCCAACAGGCCCUGCCUGCUCAGAGAGCCCGAGCAGCCGGAGGUAAUCGGUGCCUUAUUAACCAUCCAAGAGAGGGAGCCAGCCCCACUGGGCCACUUCCAGGCACCUCCUCCACAUCCUCCACCCUGGGCAGGCCUGGCUCAGCUCUCCGCGCCCCAGGAGGCUUCCUCGCGCUCUGGCUCCUGGCCCCUGGCCCUGUGGACUUGUGGCAACAAUGCCCCACAGUGAGGGGUUCUCUGGCCAGUGCCAGGGCCUCCAACCAGAACUCCCUCCCCAGGGCUGGGUUUCCCUCACACCCAGGCCUCAGAGGACAGCCCUUUGUCGCCUCUAUCCAGGCAGGACCAUUUCCCUUCAGGCCACAGGCUCCAUGUCCACUGAGAGACAUCCGCACCAUCCUCCUUCCCCCUCCAUUUCCAGGUCCCGACAGGGCCUGCACCAGUCCUUGCCCUAUGCUUGGUGAAGGGCAACUUCUGACACCGAUGUGCCCUGUUCCUGACGUGCCCGGCGAGACCUGAAUUCCAGUCAGAGCUGGCUGCUCACAGGACAGUCUGGGCUUUGUCGCCUUCGGGAUCCAGCGGGAGAAUCUCAGGCUUUGUCCGGAGCAAUGCUGCCACCUUUCCCAGUGCUGCCCUUUGGGGGCCUCAGACCAAGUGUGUCCCAUGUGUCCACCCCCCGCCAGUGACAGCUCUUUGGAGCAGAUGCGUGGACAGAAGGACCCAUAUUCCAAGGGCUGCCAAUUCUCAGUCAAGUCAUCCCCGGGUAUCUCGGGCCCUCUGUGCUCCUGCUUCAUCCUGGUGGCAGUGGACCCAAGCUGCGCACAGUCACAUCAGGGCAACCCCAUUACCCCAGGAGUGGCCAGAAGCAGUCGCUGCCGAGAGCCCAGCACCGGAGGAGGACGCCUAUGGUCCGCGAGGGAGCAGACAGUUGGCCCAACGAGGCCCCCCUGUCCCGGGGCGCAUGCUCACCACCCGCCUCAUCCCUACAGAUGAUGACACAAGAGGGCUCCCACACCCCUCAGUGGCCUGACCCUGCCAGAGAGAAGAACUGAGCGCCAAAACUGCAGCCAGGGUCGGUUUGCAGGGCUGGGGUCAGGCCUGGGCAGGGCUGCCACAGAGGUCAGUUUUCCUGUAGAGAAAUCAGGGCAGGAAGGGGAAUCUUCCCAGGCCCUGUCUCGCGCACUUCCGACAUCUGUUCCAAAAGCAUCUGAGGAUGUCUUCAGCGCUUCUCAGACUCUAACAUGAACGUGAAUCCUCUGGGGAGCCUGUUAGAAUGCAGAUUCUUGGGGCCAGCCUUGUGGCACAAGCUCACUUCCACAGCUCGAGUUCCUGGGUUCCAAUCCCAGGCACAGACCUACACACCACUCAUCAAGUCACGCUGUGGCGGCGACACACAUACAGUGGAGGAAGAUUGGCACAGACGAUUGCUCUCAGGGCCAAUCUUCUUCAAGUGAAAAAAGAGGAAGAUUGGCAACAGGUGUUAGCUGAGAGCUAAUCUUCCUCAGGAGGAAAAGAAAAACGCAGAUUCUGAUUCAAUAGGUCUGGGUAGGCCCAAGAUUCUGCUUUUCUAACAAGCUCCCAGGUGGUGCCAAUGCUGCUGGUCUCAGGACUUUGAGCAGCAAGGGGCUGAAUUACAAAAGCAAAAAGCUCUGGAUCACAGUCUAGUUAAAACAAAAACACAGAGAGGGAGGAAGCUGCUCCUGAUACCAGAGAGAGAUUGCAACGGAGCAUCGCUUUCCCUGUGAGCUUUCCGAAAACCGUGGCAAGAAAGGAAAGAAGCGCUUACCAACUCUUACGCCAUGAUAGAAGAGACAACUGCAGGCAUGGAGAGAAAGCCCUUCCCCGGUCUGGCUGCCCAGGAAACUGAUGAAGCGGACCUUAUUCUCAGGAGAGUGGAGAAGCAGGCUGUUUUAGGGGUACUGCCAGCCUUUCUAUGAGAAGCACUGAGCCUGGGCACCUCAGUGGGGUGCAUCUGUGAUGGAGAGUCACGGUUUAGACCCCACUGCCCCUGGUGCCCCACCUGGGCCAGCGCCAUGGUCAGCGCCCAUAGGAGACCAUCCUUCUCCCACUUUUUGGCUCAGACACUAGCUGGCUUAACCAUCCCUGACAACAGAGUGGAAACCUGGACUCAGAUGCUUCACCAUGCAGCACCCCGCAAGGUGUUCAGGGGAGGGCAGCUGAGGCCCAGGCCUGAGCCUCAGGAAGGGGUGAGGUGGAUCUGUGGGCAGCGGAAGAGCCCCACCUCUUUCCAGUAAUCAAGAAAGGCUUCCUGGAGGAGGGCACAUGGCGGGCAGACUUGUUUAUGUAAAGGAAGGGAGGUGGUUUGGGGAAAGGAAAGUCCAAGCAGAAGGAGGGAUGGGAUGGGGUGGGCAUCCAGCCACAGUGGGGGUGGGGAGGUUCCCUCACUGCCCCUCUCUCCAUGGCUGGCUCAGACCCUCAGAGACGGGCUGGUGGAGGUGGGACGGCACAUGGCUCUCCUGCCACCCCCACGCCCAGGAUGUCCAGUAUAAGUCUAUCUCCUCUUUACACCCUGAAUCUCUGCUCCCCCUCCUGGCUCUGCCUGCCUCGAGGAGCACCCAGGUUGGGGCACGGAGGCUCUGGCCUGGGGGCAUCCCACACCCAGACCAGUGUGGGUGGGAACUGGAGCUGAGUGAGGGCUUUGGCCAAUGAGGCCUCUGAACGUGACCGUGGGCACAGCCACAGGCAGGACACAGGAAAGGAGAGACUGGUCAGCCUUCUGCCACGAGGCCUUGGGAUGUCAUGGUCAGUCGAGGUCUUCACUCUUAGACGGCUACGUUCCUACGAAAGGCCAACCCGAGUGGUCACCUUGGCCUGAAGGGGGGUCACAUGGGUGUUGACUUCUCAGCCAUCCUCACUCCUUCCUGGGGUGACCCGGGACACAUCCCUCUCUUCCCAGCAUCCUUUGUGACAACAAGGACGUGCAGGACCCUGAUGAUUUCCCAGAGAAGGAAAUGGAAAAUUCUCAGAUAAAAAAAGCCAAGGUCCGGGAGAGCCAGGAUCCCUGACAACAGCAGACACGGUGGAGGAUGAACGGGCCUCGGACCAGGGGCUGGGAGCUCUCUGUCCGCUCUCCCACCUGAGAGAGUCCUGGUCCUCGGGAGAUGAGCAGUUUCCACAAUGCCCAUAGAUACCCCAAAUGGCCAGAGCUGGGGGUCCCAGACUCAGAACACAGAGGGGCACUGAGAACCCCCAGGGGCAAAGGCCCUUCCCAAGGCCACCGAGGGACUGAGAGCCAUCCUGCCAGCCUGCCUGGCCGUCUUCCAUAUGCGCUUGGAGGUGGCCAGACCCAAGGGAGCCAGACGGUCCCGUCCAGCUGGCCCAAGGUCACCAACAGCUUCGAAAACAAUAGGCAGUGGGUCCAGCCGUGGCUGGGGCCAGAACAAAGGCCUAGGCACUUCCUCGAAUUGAGGCCCCCUCCUUCAUGGUUUGCCAAGGCCGGGGACGAAGGAAACCUUCAUCGGGAGGUAGGGAUGUUUUGCAAAA